UACAGAGGUGGCAAGCGUUGUUCGGAAUUACUGGGCGUAAAGGGCGCGUAGGCGGUUCGUUAAGUCCUGUGUGAAAUCCCCCGGCUCAACUGGGGAACUGCACAGGAAACUAGCGGGCUUGAGUUCGGGAGAGGGAAGCGGAAUUCCGGGUGUAGCGGUGAAAUGCGUAGAUAUCCGGAGGAACACCGGGGGCGAAGGCGGCUUCCUGGACCGACACUGACGCUGAGGCGCGAAAGCUAGGGGAGCAAACGGG
RNAcentral lists this ribosomal RNA (253 nucleotides) under uncultured bacterium. RNAcentral describes it as "partial 16S ribosomal RNA". It matches the Rfam family "Bacterial small subunit ribosomal RNA", at positions 524 to 776 of the family's 1533-position model. The record is from RNAcentral.